This 223-nucleotide unclassified non-coding RNA is filed under the name Hevea brasiliensis (rubber tree). The record is from RNAcentral. Lineage: Eukaryota; Viridiplantae; Streptophyta; Magnoliopsida; Malpighiales; Euphorbiaceae.
GUGAUAAAGUACAACCAUCAUAUUUUGCCGGGAAUCCAUACAAAGGAGAGAGGAAAAUAAUGGGAACAAAGAAAUAAGAGGGAUUUUACAACAUUAAGGCUAAAAUAAAUAUUAGUGGUUCUAAACUAGUGCAGCCUGAAACUUUUAGGCUGUGUUUGGUUGACUUGCUAAAGUUGUUUUUCUGUUUUUUACAAUAGCGAAAAAAGCAAGCACAAAAAAAGCA